AUUAGGUAGCCAGCUUUCAGCUUGUUCCUGUCCAGUAAAAAAUACGUAACUAAGCAGAAGCCAGUCUUAUAAGAGGGAGACAAUUUUAAACUCAAACUCAAACAUGUUUUGAAAGACUAAGAAUCUUACAAGAAAAAUAUCAACUCUAUCAAAAUGGCAGAAAACAAACACAUUGACAUUAAAAACUGAAAUUCCCUUUUCUACAUGUUGCUGUACCUUAUAAAAACUGUGGGGCACUUAAGGAAAUACAUUUUCUGAAAUAAAUUAGAUUUGAAAACAAUUUUUCUUCUGUAAAUCCAGUGUUUCAGUUUAUUCUCAUCAUGUUUUGUUUCUAGUACAAUCAUGUAGAAUUGCAUCCUAUCAAUCAAUCCCUGGUUCCAUGUUUGUAAUAUUUAAUAAACUGUACUUAUUCAAGAGA
Leopardus geoffroyi (Geoffroy's cat) is the source of this 418-nucleotide long non-coding RNA. RefSeq lists it as uncharacterized. NCBI's taxonomy places the organism in Eukaryota, Metazoa, Chordata, Mammalia, Carnivora, Felidae. The record is from RefSeq and is a predicted model, not a curated record. The transcript has 2 exons.